AGCGAGCGGGAAGAGCUCAAAUUUAUAAUCUGGCACCUUCGGUGUCCGAGUUGUAAUCUCUAGAAAUGUUUUCCGCGUUGGACCGCACACAAGUCUGUUGGAAUACAGCGGCAUAGUGGUGAGACCCCCGUAUAUGGUGCGGACGCCCAGCGCUUUGUGAUACAUUUUCGAAGAGUCSAGUUGUUUGGGAAUGCAGCUCAAAUUGGGUGGUAAAUUCCAUCUAAAGCUAAAUAUUGGCGAGAGACCGAUAGCGAACAAGUACCGUGAGGGAAAGAUGAAAAGCACUUUGKAAAGAGAGUUAACAGUACGUGAAAUUGUUGGAAGGGAAACGCUUGAAGUCAGACUUGCUUGCCGAGCAAUCGGUUUGCAGGCCAGCAUCASUUUUCCGGGAUGGAUAAUGGUAGAGAGAAGGUAGCAGUUUCGGCUGUGUUAUAGCUCUCUGCUGGAUACAUCUUGGGGGACUGAGGAACGCAGWGUGCCUUUGGCGGGGGUUUCGACCUCUUCACACUUAGGAUGCUGGUGGAAUGGCUUUAAACGACCCGUCUUGAAACACGGACCA
This 559-nucleotide ribosomal RNA is filed under the name Rhodotorula mucilaginosa. Its description in RNAcentral is "eukaryotic LSU rRNA". It matches the Rfam family "Eukaryotic large subunit ribosomal RNA", at positions 92 to 668 of the family's 3401-position model. Lineage: Eukaryota; Fungi; Basidiomycota; Microbotryomycetes; Sporidiobolales; Sporidiobolaceae. The record is from RNAcentral.